UGUCCAAUGCGGGAAUUGAACCCGGGUCCUAGUGGUCGAAAACCAAACGGUUUUAACCAGCCUUCCACCGACCCCCGAGCCCAACAUGGAU
RNAcentral lists this transfer RNA (91 nucleotides) under Cordylochernes scorpioides. RNAcentral describes it as "tRNA-Glu". Lineage: Eukaryota; Metazoa; Arthropoda; Arachnida; Pseudoscorpiones; Chernetidae. The record is from RNAcentral.